UCGCGUCAAGCGCCGAAGGCAGGAGCGGGGGAACCAAGGUAGGCGCCGGGACCGGCCGUUGAGAGACGGCCAGGGAACGGCUAGGGGUUAAGUCGUGCGCCACGUCGCACGGCCGGGCACUCAUCAGCCCGAACCCGACAGCUCACCUCGUAGGCGUCGGUGAGGAGAACU
RNAcentral lists this small RNA (171 nucleotides) under Streptomyces roseus. RNAcentral describes it as "c-di-AMP sequence". It matches the Rfam family "c-di-AMP riboswitch aptamer (ydaO/yuaA leader)". Rfam says of the family: This family represents a conserved RNA structure found upstream of the ydaO and yuaA genes in Bacillus subtilis and related genes in other bacteria. The ydaO/yuaA element is thought to act as a genetic "off" switch for the ydaO and yuaA genes in its native state. It is believed that the element may be triggered during osmotic shock leading to activation of ydaO, a predicted amino acid transporter gene, and members of the yuaA-yubG operon which code for KtrA and KtrB K+ transporters. Lineage: Bacteria; Bacillati; Actinomycetota; Actinomycetes; Kitasatosporales; Streptomycetaceae. The record is from Rfam by way of RNAcentral.